AAAUUGAAGAGUUUGAUCAUGGCUCAGAUUGAACGCUGGCGGCAGGCCUAACACAUGCAAGUCGAACGGUAACAGGAAGCAGCUUGCUGCUUCGCUGACGAGUGGCGGACGGGUGAGUAAUGUCUGGGAAGCUGCCUGAUGGAGGGGGAUAACUACUGGAAACGGUAGCUAAUACCGCAUAACGUCGCAAGACCAAAGAGGGGGACCUUCGGGCCUCUUGCCAUCGGAUGUGCCCAGAUGGGAUUAGCUUGUUGGUGGGGUAACGGCUCACCAAGGCGACGAUCCCUAGCUGGUCUGAGAGGAUGACCAGCCACACUGGAACUGAGACACGGUCCAGACUCCUACGGGAGGCAGCAGUGGGGAAUAUUGCACAAUGGGCGCAAGCCUGAUGCAGCCAUGCCGCGUGUAUGAAGAAGGCCUUCGGGUUGUAAAGUACUUUCAGCGGGGAGGAAGGGAGUAAAGUUAAUACCUUUGCUCAUUGACGUUACCCGCAGAAGAAGCACCGGCUAACUCCGUGCCAGCAGCCGCGGUAAUACGGAGGGUGCAAGCGUUAAUCGGAAUUACUGGGCGUAAAGCGCACGCAGGCGGUUUGUUAAGUCAGAUGUGAAAUCCCCGGGCUCAACCUGGGAACUGCAUCUGAUACUGGCAAGCUUGAGUCUCGUAGAGGGGGUAGAAUUCCAGGUGUAGCGGUGAAAUGCGUAGAGAUCUGGAGGAAUACCGGUGGCGAAGGCGGCCCCCUGGACGAAGACUGACGCUCAGGUGCGAAAGCGUGGGGAGCAAACAGGAUUAGAUACCCUGGUAGUCCACGCCGUAAACGAUGUCGACUUGGAGGUUGUGCCCUUGAGGCGUGGCUUCCGGAGCUAACGCGUUAAGUCGACCGCCUGGGGAGUACGGCCGCAAGGUUAAAACUCAAAUGAAUUGACGGGGCCCGCACAAGCGGUGGAGCAUGUGGUUUAAUUCGAUGCAACGCGAAGAACCUUACCUGGUCUUGACAUCCACGGAAGUUUUCAGAGAUGAGAAUGUGCCUUCGGGAACCGUGAGACAGGUGCUGCAUGGCUGUCGUCAGCUCGUGUUGUGAAAUGUUGGGUUAAGUCCCGCAACGAGCGCAACCCUUAUCCUUUGUUGCCAGCGGUCCGGCCGGGAACUCAAAGGAGACUGCCAGUGAUAAACUGGAGGAAGGUGGGGAUGACGUCAAGUCAUCAUGGCCCUUACGACCAGGGCUACACACGUGCUACAAUGGCGCAUACAAAGAGAAGCGACCUCGCGAGAGCAAGCGGACCUCAUAAAGUGCGUCGUAGUCCGGAUUGGAGUCUGCAACUCGACUCCAUGAAGUCGGAAUCGCUAGUAAUCGUGGAUCAGAAUGCCACGGUGAAUACGUUCCCGGGCCUUGUACACACCGCCCGUCACACCAUGGGAGUGGGUUGCAAAAGAAGUAGGUAGCUUAACCUUCGGGAGGGCGCUUACCACUUUGUGAUUCAUGACUGGGGUGAAGUCGUAACAAGGUAACCGUAGGGGAACCUGCGGUUGGAUCACCUCCUUA
This 1540-nucleotide ribosomal RNA is filed under the name Escherichia coli. RNAcentral's name for it is "bacterial SSU rRNA". It matches the Rfam family "Bacterial small subunit ribosomal RNA". Lineage: Bacteria; Pseudomonadati; Pseudomonadota; Gammaproteobacteria; Enterobacterales; Enterobacteriaceae. The record is from RNAcentral.